AAAAACAUGGCUCUUUGGUUACAUAAAUAUAGGGAGUCGAGCCUGCCCGGUGAAAAUUUUUAACGGCCGCGGUACUCUAACCGUGCAAAGGUAGCAUAAUCAUUUGCCUUAUAAUUGAAGGCUCGUAUGAAUGGUUUGACGAGAACAACACUGUCUCCUUUUUAUUUUCAAGAAUUUAACUUUUAGGUGAAGAGGCCUAAAUUUUAUUGAAGGACAAGAAGACCCUGUCGAGCUUAAAAGAUAUCAUAGAGCCUUAUAUACCUUUAAAUAAAUUUUCUAUUAAAGCUUUUUAGUUGGGGCGACUAAGGAACAAAAAAAGCUUCUUGUUAAUAGUAGACAGUCAUGUUUAGAUCCAAUAAAUAAUUGAUCAAAGAAAUUAGUUACCGCAGGGAUAACAGCAUAAUCUCUCUUGAGAGAUCUAAUCGAAAGAGGGGGUUGUGACCUCGAUGUUGGACUAGAAUAUCCUAAAGAUGCAGAAGUCUUUAAGGGUUGGUCUGUUCGACCAUUAAAAUUCUACGUGAUCUGA
This 526-nucleotide ribosomal RNA is filed under the name Semisulcospira habei. Its description in RNAcentral is "partial 16S ribosomal RNA". It matches the Rfam family "Bacterial large subunit ribosomal RNA", at positions 1809 to 2608 of the family's 2925-position model. The record is from RNAcentral. Lineage: Eukaryota; Metazoa; Mollusca; Gastropoda; Semisulcospiridae.